Molecule: long non-coding RNA, 733 nt
Filed under: Ornithorhynchus anatinus (platypus)
Lineage: Eukaryota; Metazoa; Chordata; Mammalia; Monotremata; Ornithorhynchidae
Description: lncRNA (ENSOANG00000048577.1)
Source: RNAcentral
AUGCCAUGUGGUAGGCAAACCAAAUCUUGGAUGUCCCUGAUGCAGUUUGCCAUGAUUCCUAAUUCAAUAUUCCUCAAAGGCCCAGCAGACACAGGACUCGGGGGGAUGGUGAGCUCUGCCCAGUGGCACCACCAGCACAAUCCAGCAUCAGUGAAGGUGGAAAUGUCCAGGCUGCACAAGCCUGAACCACCUGCUGGGGGCAACUGAAGGACAUGAACGAAUCUUCAGGAGUUUCAGCACAGGCGGCGACGAGCCCUCAGAUAGAGCGAGGCUCUUUGGGGAAUCCAUGGGAGCUGCAGCUUGUGGAUGGAGAUGGCUUGGGGAGAAGUCCUCAUUGUCGGUCAGUGGCUUUGACCUGGCCCUGGCCUGUUCUGUGAAGGAGGAUUACGUCAGCACUCAAGGAGACACAAGUUCUACAAUAUACUCUGUUGCCUGGUUCAUGAUUCCGAACACAAAAGCCUCUUGCCUAAAACAAGGAGGAGCCUGAGAGCUUCCCUUCUCAGUACUUAGCUACUUAGUUUGAACACUAUAAUUGCGAAUAGUCAAAUCUUGAUUUAGUUGUGAUUUGUAGCCACCAUCAUUGUUCCACAUAGCUGUCAAUGACAAUUUGGAUUGUGAGGCUUGCUUGACUAACUUGGAUUCACUGUAGCAUCAUAAUGAUAAUAAUAAUAAUUUAAAAAAUAAAAAUUAAAAAAAAAUUGGUUUUUUGCCUUACUAAGUACCCAGUACUCUG